Molecule: transfer RNA, 67 nt
Filed under: Acrocephalus scirpaceus
Lineage: Eukaryota; Metazoa; Chordata; Aves; Passeriformes; Sylviidae
Description: transfer RNA-Cys
Source: RNAcentral
GGCUUUGUAGUGAAGUUCAUAGUGAGUUGCAAACUCAUUGAUGUGCACUGGCCGUGCGCCGAAGCCU